AGGAGCAUCAGGGCGACUAACGCUUGGACUCGUUCAAUAUAAAAUCGAGUUUUCAAGCGAGGAAAAUCCUCCUCCCAUGAGCAGCGCUCCUUGUAAGAGGACAGCCGAGAGGCUGUGUUUCUGGAACAGAAACGAUACUCGCUGUGUUAAUGCGGUGAAGUUGCAAAACAGAGAUCGCACAGGACGAGAUGAAACGGCAAGAGCGCGCGGGUGCAAGCCAAAAUACUUGCCUAUGACUGCUAAAGAGGCGAGAAGUAGGCGCUUAGUAAAAUGUCGUCACUCUCUGCAUAAGAGAGCAACUCGAAUGUGAAAUAAAAUUCGAGUAAGAGAACAAAAGAGGAUUUACUCGAUGCUCCU
RNAcentral lists this RNase P RNA (357 nucleotides) under Candidatus Naiadarchaeales archaeon SRR2090153.bin1042. Its description in RNAcentral is "RNase P RNA component". It matches the Rfam family "Archaeal RNase P". Rfam says of the family: Ribonuclease P (RNase P) is a ubiquitous endoribonuclease, found in archaea, bacteria and eukarya as well as chloroplasts and mitochondria. Its best characterised activity is the generation of mature 5'-ends of tRNAs by cleaving the 5'-leader elements of precursor-tRNAs. The record is from RNAcentral. Lineage: Archaea; Nanobdellati; Candidatus Undinarchaeota; Candidatus Undinarchaeia; Candidatus Naiadarchaeales.